AUAGAGUUUGGAGAUUCAGUGCAUAACAGAAAUAACUCAUAACAACAUAACUCUUACAUUAUAUUGGCUAAACAUACAGAAAUUUGGUAUAAGUGAAAGAGAUGGUUCAUCACACAAUUUGAAUUUGUUGAAUCUAGUCUAUUUUUAUUCAACACUACUUCCAGAUGCCCAGAUGUCGCCUACACAUAUCAAUGCUUCCUAGUAUUCCUAACACUUGCAGUGAACACAAGACCCUUCAUUGUUAAAUUAUAGUGACCGCAUAGCCCAAACAAAGGGGAAGCAUUUGUAUGUUAGCAACAACCAUGUUAUACAAACACACCAUGAUACAGUAAAUAAAUUAAAUCAAGAAAACUGAAGAAGACUUUGGAUGAAGAAUUAUGGUUUUCAUUGGAUUUAUCCUUAAACUAACAAAGGCCAAUGCUUAUGAACAGCAGUGAUUCAUAACAUUGUUAGCUUUUGACUAGAUUAAAGAACUUGUUUGAUACUUUAGGAAAAUAAUAAUAAAAUUAAUUAUUUGCCUUCAUGUUAGUCAUUGAGCUUUAGUGGUACUGGGAAGCAGAAUUUGUGAGCUUCAUAUUUAAUGGACUAUUUAAUGAGGCCUAUAUUUAGCGUCAAGUUGCAGUUUACAUCCACGUCUGUCCAGACUCAUACAAAGUGUGUAAUGAAGAUUAUGAGAACAGGGAAUUUAAUAAAUUGUAUUAGGUGUAUUUUCUCAUGUUUUCAUUAUGACCAAAAAGCCUUAAGUCUACGUGAACGUUUGUGCCAAGAAAUUCUUGUCCGGACGGGUGAACAACCCAAAAACAUAACAAGAAAAAAAAAUGAGAGGAAAGUCUCAAAUUAUAUAAACAGAUUUUGUGUGGCCGAAAAAUUAUUUUUCCGCUUCUUUUUUCUUGUUAACCUCUUCCUGUUGGGGGAUCUUCGGCCCACAGGUUGAGAAGACAAGUAUACUGUAUCUCUGCCAAGAUUAUCGUCAAAGCCAUUGUGUUCUACUUCCACUACCCUCAGACCUUUCACCAAGUUCCUUCUUGAAUACUGAUACGUGGAUUAACAUGAGAUACAAGAGCAGAGCUUUGACACAGUCACUUUAAAUGUCUUCUCUUGAAAAAAAAUUCUCACUGAAUCAUUCUCUGUCUAAAAUAUGAACAGCUGCAGAACAUCCUUGAGCUUUAGUGCGCGAAAAAAAAAGGGCUGUCGAGUAUGUUGCACAGGACAGCGAGCAAAAUUUCCAGUUAUGCACCUCUACUGUAGGUCAAAUCCUUUUUGUAUCAUCAUGAGGAUACAGCAAAAGCUGAACUGAAUUACAAACUAAACAAUGUCAGUAUUUCCACAUAUUGCACAUACUGAAAGACAAAGUUCAUGUUUACCCAGUGAUUACUAAUUAAAAAGUCUCAGUUCUCAAGUCUGAGCUUCCACUUUCCAUCAGUCUAUGCGAAAGAAAACUUGUGGCUUUUCGAGCGUCGCUGCUGAAAAUAUGCGUGUUAAGUCUAGAGCUCAUUCAAACCACAUUCUUCAUCGCUGUCCAAACAAAACAGGUUCUGUAGGACUGGAGGAGAUCAGAGAGCAAGCCCUUCUGGAUGGUGGCGUUCCCACUCAGGGUCUCCUUGUCCAGGAUGAGCAGGAAGCGGUGGAGCUCCAUCAGGAGCUGGUCCAGCACUGGAAGUACAGGCAGAGAAGAGACUCUCAGAGAGAUUGACUCAGAUGGCCUUUUGGAUUGGGGGACCCUGGGAAACGAAGUCAGCUGACAGGACAGGGAGGUCUGUAGCAGGCCGUCUCUGUGGGCUACGGGUUGGCCAGACGCCCACUGCACAUCCAGUGAGUGGCCGCAGUCUCCGCAGCAUAAACAAUUCACUUCUGUAGAAUGGCCAAAAAGAAUCUGAGAGACCAACAGCUGGCCAGAGUACUACAAUGUUUUCUAAUUGUGGCUAUUAAAACACAGUAAAAGGGGCAAGUAAGAAU
This is a long non-coding RNA of Toxotes jaculatrix (banded archerfish), 1956 nucleotides long. RefSeq lists it as uncharacterized. NCBI's taxonomy places the organism in Eukaryota, Metazoa, Chordata, Actinopteri, Toxotidae. The record is from RefSeq and is a predicted model, not a curated record. The transcript has 3 exons.